This is a long non-coding RNA of Amphimedon queenslandica, 118 nucleotides long. RefSeq lists it as uncharacterized. The record is from RefSeq and is a predicted model, not a curated record. Lineage: Eukaryota; Metazoa; Porifera; Demospongiae; Haplosclerida; Niphatidae. The transcript is spliced from 2 exons.
AAAUGAUGUAUGGUGGCAACUGAGUGCCACUAGCACAUGCUGCUCCAAAUAAAAUUCUCUUACUAGUAGCAGACAGGCAGAAUCCUGUUUCAUCACAAUUACAAAUUCGUUUUUCAAA